GAGGGUGUAGCCCAGUGGUAGAGUGCAUGCUUGGCAUGGACGAGGUCCUGGGUUCAAUCCCCAGUAUCUCCA
This 72-nucleotide transfer RNA is filed under the name Camelus bactrianus (Bactrian camel). It matches the Rfam family "tRNA". Rfam says of the family: Transfer RNA (tRNA) molecules are approximately 80 nucleotides in length. Their secondary structure includes four short double-helical elements and three loops (D, anti-codon, and T loops). RNAcentral also lists the same sequence under 1 other name. Lineage: Eukaryota; Metazoa; Chordata; Mammalia; Artiodactyla; Camelidae. The record is from Rfam by way of RNAcentral.